UGCAGAGAAUCCAGGUCACAUCAGCAGAGUUUAAGUUUUCUUUUAGAAAGAACGAUGAUCCUCUGUGCAUAAUAUUUGAUAGAGCUCUAGGAACUUCUAAAGAACUGCAAGUUUUUUUGCACUAACAAACUAUACCAUUUCCCAAAAUAAAUAAUUCCAAGAAAUUAAAAGUUUGGUGCUACGAAAUGAAGCUUUAUUAAUUUAAUAUUUAAUAUUUUUAGAUGUUUCUGCUAUUUUUACAGCUAGAUAUGAGAACUGGACUGCCCCCCCCCCCUCAUAUUUUUAUAUUUCAAGCAGAGAGAACAAAUUUCACACACCUAGGUGUAUGCAAUGGUGACUCCAAAUGGGACCUCAGCUUAACUGUAGCAGUGAUUACUUUGCUUACUUGUUUUUACUAGUGACUUUUUUUUAUUUUAUUACUACCUUUAUUUCAAAAUAUAUGUUUGUGGGACUUUGCUUUAUUUUUGUUACAUUGUAGUUUUUAUUUUUAUUUUGCAGAAGUUGCUCAUUCCUUUUCAUAUUAUGCCAUUAUGUAAUUGAAGUUCAUCCAUCCAUCCAUUUUCUUGACCGCUUCUUCCCUUUCGGGGUCGCGGGGUGCCGGAGCCUAUCCCGGCUACUGAUGGGCGAAGGCGGGGUACACCCUGGACAGGUCGCCAGUCCGUCGCAGGGCAAUUGAAGUUCAGUUCAGGUCAACAUUUUCAUUUGCUGAAAGUCUCCGUCCUUUGUUUAUUCAAUGAACAAAAAAAAUAUGGUCUAUGUCUGAAAUAAUUCUAUAUUUCUGUCAUGGUGCCUCUGUCAGUCUCCUCCCCCUCUCCACUCUCCUCUCCUCUCCACCUGGCUGCUGAUCAUCCCCAGCUGCAACCACUCAUCUCGUCUCCUCACCUGCCUACUUAAGGAGCUCCAGGACCUUCAUUCCCCGCCAGUCCGUUGCCCCUGAUGGAAUCUCCUACCACGAGUGGUUGCGUGUUUUCAUCCUGCGUCCAGAUCUCCAGUCGGGUCUUCUCUCCACGGUCACACCACGAGCCUCUGCCUCUGCUCCACGUUCCCGAAUCCAAGACGGCCAUCUCCCUCUCGGAGGACAAGAUCGCCUGCUACACCUCCUACCUCUGCCUCCUGCUCGGAACCUGCUUCCUGUCCUGUUCAGGACCCCACCUCCUCGUCACACUAUUAAACUCAUUACCUAC
This is a long non-coding RNA of Oryzias melastigma (Indian medaka), 1184 nucleotides long. RefSeq lists it as uncharacterized. The transcript is spliced from 2 exons. Lineage: Eukaryota; Metazoa; Chordata; Actinopteri; Beloniformes; Adrianichthyidae. The record is from RefSeq and is a predicted model, not a curated record.